GGAGUCCCUUCUUGCUUACGGAGCUCGGGGACUUGUAGGGGCUAGGCGCCUCUCGGACAUUGUUUAUGCUUGAUGACUUCAUGAUUAUAACUCCCCAACCAAGAAGCUCCUCUUACUCGGGGACUUCGGGGACUUGUAGAUACCUCUACUAGCAAGGCUAGUUUGCUACCUCACCAAGCAUAAACAACACCCUCAUGGGAUCCAACCGCUACUUGCAUCUUGUAGCCCUAUGUUCAAGCUACGCUACGGUAUCCGGAAGUCGCAAAUCCGUCGCCG
Molecule: long non-coding RNA, 276 nt
Filed under: Rosa chinensis
Lineage: Eukaryota; Viridiplantae; Streptophyta; Magnoliopsida; Rosales; Rosaceae
Description: sRNA RchiOBHm_Chr7g0220601
Source: RNAcentral